This 402-nucleotide ribosomal RNA is filed under the name uncultured prokaryote. RNAcentral describes it as "bacterial SSU rRNA". It matches the Rfam family "Bacterial small subunit ribosomal RNA", at positions 355 to 774 of the family's 1533-position model. The record is from RNAcentral.
UAGGGAAUAUUAGAAAUGGACGAAAGUCUGAUCUAGCAACACCGCGUGUGCGAAGAAGGCCUUCGGGUCGUAAAGCACUUUUUGGAAGGAAUAGGAAGGAAUGUACUUCCAGAAUAAGUCUCGGCUAACUACGUGCCAGCAGCCGCGGUAACACGUAGGAGGCAAACGUUAUCCGGAUUUACUGGGCGUAAAGCGCGUGUAGGUGGUUCUGUAAGUAGGGCGUGAAAGCUCCUGGCUCAACUGGGAGAGGCCGUUCUAAACUGCAGAGCUAGAGGAUGGUAGGGGGAUGUUGAAUUCCUGGUGUAGCGGUGGAAUGCGCAGAUAUCCGGAGGGACACCAGUGGCGAAAGCGGCCUCCUGGACCAUUCCUGACACUCAGACGCGAAAGCUAGGGUAGCAAACG